This is a long non-coding RNA of Sorghum bicolor (sorghum), 617 nucleotides long. RefSeq lists it as uncharacterized. The record is from RefSeq and is a predicted model, not a curated record. Lineage: Eukaryota; Viridiplantae; Streptophyta; Magnoliopsida; Poales; Poaceae. The transcript is spliced from 2 exons.
GAGGAGUGGAGCGGCGGCGCGAGGGAUGAUGCGACGGAGAGGCGCUGUGGCGGCGUGCACCCUUAGUCACGGUAAAUCAUUGUCCGCGGGCCAAUCUUCUUCUCAACCAUCAUCUCCUUCCCUGCACAGACCCCCUCCCCCCUGCGCCACUUUCCUUCACCGACAGCGAGCUACGGUUCACUGGCUCCCCAACGUGGCGACCUGCAUCACAAGAAUAUGGUGGCGGUAGUUGUCUUCGCCGGAUUUGGCCAUGGCGCAACGAAUACGGACUAGGGUGCUCGGGCCCUCAACGCAUACAACAGGGUGAAUCUAGACUAUUAUGCUUGAGUCAUGAACUGUAAGCUGCAGCGGGUCACAUUCACUCACAUCGCAAAGAUCUGCUCCGGUGCUUGCCUCAAGGAAAGUGCUUUGAAAUUGACAUUGCCGGUCGAGAAGAAGUCGAGGAACAAAUUAUUUGUAGAGAACUGCAUGUUGUUUGCAAUUCUGAGCAUGUUUCUGUGAACUUAAUUUUCAUUUUGGUGCUAUGAGCAUGUUUGUAUAAACUUUGCAUUGUGCAUGGAGGAACAUAUUAGCCACACAAUGGUAUAUCAAAAUUUAUUUAUAGUUGAUCUUAGCUA